AACCAUCACCUUGUCCACCCCCAUCAUCAACACCAAAACCACCUCAUCAUCCCAAACCCCCAGCAGUACACCCACCACAUGUUCCAAAACCACAUCCACCUUAUGUUCCAAAACCACCAAUUGUUAAACCUCCAAUAGUACAUCCACCUUACGUACCAAAACCCCCAGUUGUGAAACCACCACCAUAUGUCCCUAAACCACCUGUUGUGAGACCACCCUAUGUUCCUAAACCACCAGUUGUACCUGUAACACCACCUUAUGUUCCUAAGCCACCAAUUGUUUUCCCACCACAUGUUCCUCUACCUCCAGUUGUACCAUCACCACCACCUUAUGUACCAACACCUCCAAUUGUGAAACCACCAAUUGUUUUUCCACCACAUGUUCCUCUACCUCCAGUUGUGCCUGUAACACCACCUUAUGUGCAACCACCACCUAUUGUAACUCCACCAACACCAACACCUCCAAUUGUGACACCACCAACACCACCUAGUGAAACACCUUGUCCUCCACCACCACUUGUACCUUAUCCACCACCAC
Molecule: long non-coding RNA, 537 nt
Filed under: Medicago truncatula (barrel medic)
Lineage: Eukaryota; Viridiplantae; Streptophyta; Magnoliopsida; Fabales; Fabaceae
Description: long non-coding RNA (MTRU_LNC000957)
Source: RNAcentral